Molecule: long non-coding RNA, 261 nt
Filed under: Mytilus galloprovincialis (Mediterranean mussel)
Lineage: Eukaryota; Metazoa; Mollusca; Bivalvia; Mytilida; Mytilidae
Source: RNAcentral
AAUUGAAAGAGAAGAAUUGUUUUCAACUUGUCUGGAAAAAAAUCCAUAGUCCCCCCCCCCCCCUCCCUGAAAACAAAUGGUUGCUGCCUUCAAACAAUCUCUUUCAGAGUAUCAUUUUAAUCAAUCUUAUUCAAAGCAUUAUCAUACUGACAUGAAGUAUGACUUAAUUUUGACUUGUGAUCUAAAACAUAAUUGUUGACUUAGCCCCCAGAAACUGCUCUGAAAUACUUUUAUAUAAAUGUAAAAAUGCAUAGUUUUUUU